CUCCCAUGCAAAACUCUAAACUUUAUUCACCUUUAUUUAUAUAUUUAACAAUUCUAAAGUAUUUACUUCUUGCUUUGACAAAAAUGAAAAAUAUAGGAGCACUUUACUCCUCCUUAAGAGAGAAGGGUUAUAUAUACAGCUAUGGAGAGAUAUCAAUUCCCCCUUUACAUACAAAGAAAAAUAAUAUUAAUAAAAAAGUGCUUCAUUGAUCAAAAAGGACUAAGAGCUGCAAGCAUUUAUUCACACUAUAUAUCACAUACCCAAAAAACCCGUAUUAUAACCUCUUGGCACCUGUCAUUAGGAACUGCAGAGUCUAACUUAUUCCUGACUCCGCACCACCAAAUGACACAAUGUUAAUGUGUAGAACUACACCAUGUCCACUAAGGUCAAGCUUCUAACCACCAGCCUCAAAGGAAAAGCCAGAGAGAUAGGAGCUGUAUAUUACCCUGGUUUCUGUUCCAACCUUCUCAGCUGUACCAGGAACUGUAACUGCUGUAGCAGUUCUAGUCAGGAUUUUUACUGCAUUUUCACAGGAAUAAUUCAUUUUUGAUAAAACUCGAAUUGGAGACCCUAGAUUUUUCUUUGCUUUUCCACUGCUGAUGAUUUCCAAGUGUUUCAAAACAUGUACCAGGGAGGAGCCAAAGAGCAUUGUCACUAGACAUCCUGCCUGCUAAGCACAUCUAUGCUAAAAGCAGCAUCUUGGAACAUUCAUCUUUUAAAUCUUCAGCUUACAUUACAGCGGUGUGGAAAGUUCAGACAUCAAGAAAAAAAUAUCUUGAGAAGUCUUUCCCCUAAGGUUCUACCAGGUGUUCAGAGAUGCUUCUCUCUUUAUGAAGUUCACUCUAGGAGUUGUCAUUUUGAUGUUCUACUGAAGGCAAGUACCCCUGUAGCCCAAGACCCAUUAUAAUUCCUUGCACCUUUGUACUCAAAAACUUUUACAUACUCCAGGGGAAUUUGUUCUACUUGAACAUGUCAGAAGUAGAAGCUGUCACAGCUUCCCCUAGACAAUAUAUUAUACAUUAUAAAGUACUUUUCUUCCUUCUCCAAACUGCAUUAAGCAUACUGUAUCAAAAGGAAAAAGGUACGUGUGGGUACCAACUGUUCUCAUUAAGAAAUAGAUAUUCAAAAGACUCACAAUUUAAUGAGGUGAUUUAAAAAAUUGCUUUCAAUUAGGGGGGGAAAUCCAUGAUUUGUUUUGGUUCUUGAUUAGAUGCUUGAUCAGGAUUAUCAUGACUAGAGUAUACAGAUCACAGAAUGAAAAGGAGGAAACGUGCCACAGACAUGACAAGCAUCAAUCUACUUAUUUUCACUGACUGGCAGCCUCAGGCCAAUGAAAUUUUACUCAGCAGGAUAUCACAGUUGCUUUGAAAUCUCUCAUUAAAGUGUGAGUUUGAUCAUCAGUGUGACAUUCAGUGUACAUUUGAAUGCACCACAGCGAGUGCCCGAUCAAUGAACCAGCUCUGCAUUCUGGAGCAACUAUUCUAAAAAAAUGGGACAAGGGUAGUAGUUUAAAGGUCUCCUCAUUUCCCCAACAUGGCUUUCUUUAUGAUCAGUUACAUUUACAGAAUGUUACAUCAGUGUAAAACCAGUCCUGAACAGGAAGCCAUUCAGUGCCCUUCCCUUUCACUUCCCUAAAACAAGCACACACUUUCCUUAGCCAAAGGUAGCCAGGCGUUUCCACUCAAAGCCACAGCCGGCUUGGCUAACGGCAAUAAAACACAUGGAUUACAUAUGUAAAUACAGAGCCGCUGAGUAUGGUAAUGGGUGACUGGUUCCCUUUCAUGCCGUGAGGCUAACUAAACCCGCUCUAAGAACAGAGGGAGAGUGCUCGCUUGGGAAAGAGAGCCCCAUUUUUUCCUAGCAGCAACAGGUUCCCAAACAGCAGUUUCUUGUUUGGAAGUAAUAGGAGUGACUGAAAGCACUAGCACUGACACUACAGGUAUUCCCACUCAGCCUCUGGACUGAUUCCCCUCCUCUCCUUUCCUCCAUAAAAUUGAGACGUCUGUCUGCAGCAGGGUUCAAUAGUGGCGCACCUAGAAGCAUGAGGGAGACCUGGUCCUGGCCCCAGCCCCUUUCCCACUUCCCAAGUCUUCCAGAAAAAC
Dermochelys coriacea (leatherback sea turtle) is the source of this 2102-nucleotide long non-coding RNA. RefSeq lists it as uncharacterized. NCBI's taxonomy places the organism in Eukaryota, Metazoa, Chordata, Testudines, Dermochelyidae. The transcript is spliced from 2 exons. The record is from RefSeq and is a predicted model, not a curated record.